Molecule: ribosomal RNA, 129 nt
Filed under: Octodon degus (degu)
Lineage: Eukaryota; Metazoa; Chordata; Mammalia; Rodentia; Octodontidae
Source: RNAcentral
GUCUACAGCCAUAUCACCCUGAAUGUGCCUGAUCUCGUCUGAUCUCGGAAGCUAAGCAGUGUUGGGCCUGGUUAGUACUUGGAUGGGAGAACUGCUAUCCCGAGAAUUGCUCAGGACUAGCCAUGGGCA